UUAGCAAAAAAAAAAAAAAAAAAGUUUAAUCUCUCCUUGAUGCGUGUCUAUUUACAUGUAAUAAAUCUGCAAAAUAGGAAAGAGCAGGAUAUUUACACAAGCAUGAAACAGCCAAAACCUGUCACUGCAGCUUCAAGUCUGAAACUCUUAAAAGGUAUCAGGAUUCAUGAAGUAUUAAAACUAUCUAAGGGAUUUUUUUCUUCCUCUUUAAUCUCUAUGGAGGUAUUUUACAUCCUACACUCCAUUUCUCAAAUGUAUUUGAACCAAAGUUUUGAGAAACAGAGUGCUGUUGCUGUAGGGAUCAACAGUGUUGGAUGAGGGAAACACUGAGGUUGAUGUCGUUAUUGGUUCCUGUGUGGAUCGGAGGAGAGGCUACCAUACUACAUACAGCCACUCAUGGAACAUC
Molecule: long non-coding RNA, 406 nt
Organism: Thalassophryne amazonica
Lineage: Eukaryota; Metazoa; Chordata; Actinopteri; Batrachoidiformes; Batrachoididae
Exons: 3
Source: RefSeq, a predicted model, not a curated record